This 380-nucleotide ribosomal RNA is filed under the name uncultured eukaryote. Its description in RNAcentral is "partial 18S ribosomal RNA". It matches the Rfam family "Eukaryotic small subunit ribosomal RNA", at positions 592 to 976 of the family's 1831-position model. The record is from RNAcentral.
CAAUAGCGUAUAUUAAAGUUGUUGCGGUUAAAAAGCUCGUAGUUGGAUUUCUGCCGAGGACGACCGGUCCGCCCUCUGGGCGAGUAUCUGGCUCGGCCUGGGCAUCUUCUUGGAGAGCGUAGCUGCACUUGACUGUGUGGUGCGGUAUCCAGGACUUUUACUUUGAGGAAAUUAGAGUGUUUCAAGCAGGCUUACGCCUUGAAUACAUUAGCAUGGAAUAAUAAGAUAGGACCUCGGUUCUAUUUUGUUGGUUUCUAGAGCUGAGGUAAUGAUUAAUAGGGAUAGUUGGGGGCAUUCGUAUUUAACUGUCAGAGGUGAAAUUCUUGGAUUUGUUAGAGACGGACUACUGCGAAAGCAUUUGCCAAGGAUGUUUNCAUUGA